RNAcentral lists this ribosomal RNA (468 nucleotides) under uncultured bacterium. Its description in RNAcentral is "partial 16S ribosomal RNA". It matches the Rfam family "Bacterial small subunit ribosomal RNA", at positions 28 to 507 of the family's 1533-position model. The record is from RNAcentral.
GACGAACGCUGGCGGCGUGCUUAACACAUGCAAGUCGAACGGAAAGGCCCUGCUUUUGUGGGGUGCUCGAGUGGCGAACGGGUGAGUAACACGUGAGUAACCUGCCCUUGACUUUGGGAUAACUUCAGGAAACUGGGGCUAAUACCGGAUAGGAGCUCCUGCUGCAUGGUGGGGGUUGGAAAGUUUCGGCGGUUGGGGAUGGACUCGCGGCUUAUCAACUUGUUGGUGGGGUAGUGGCUUACCAAGGCUUUGACGGGUAGCCGGCCUGAGAGGGUGACCGGCCACAUUGGGACUGAGAUACGGCCCAGACCCGUACGGGAGGCAGCAGUGGGGAAUAGUGCACAAGGGGCGGAGGCCUGAUGCAGCAACGCCGCGUGCGGGAUGACGGCCAUGGGGUUGUAAACCGCUUUCGCCUGUGACGAAGCGUGAGUGACGGUAAUGGGUAAAGAAGCACCGGCUAACUACGUG